Helianthus annuus (common sunflower) is the source of this 2027-nucleotide RNA transcript. RefSeq lists it as uncharacterized. The transcript is spliced from 7 exons. Lineage: Eukaryota; Viridiplantae; Streptophyta; Magnoliopsida; Asterales; Asteraceae. The record is from RefSeq and is a predicted model, not a curated record.
AGUUAAUCUGCAGUUUUAAGUAGGUUACCAAAUAACUCCCCACUCUCCCCUCUUUGUCCGUAUUUCAGGGUUAUCAAUCCUGCAGUUUAAGUAGGUUAUAAAUGGUUUCUUGCUGACAACCUCAAGAACGCAUAUCAGACUUCCCAGUAUCAUCAUCGCACUCCCUCAUUUGGCAUCCCAAAACUUGCAUCACAGAUAUCCUAUUUUCUUGAUUCUUGCUCCGAAUAAAACUGGGUUUCUUUUCGUUCUUCGGCAUCAUGGAUUCUUCUUCGGGAUCAGAAUUUGAUUAUUUGUUCAAGUUAUUGAUGAUUCGGGAUUCAUGCUUUGGUUGUUUAAUUUCGACGGCAGUAACCUGCGUAUAAUCUGCUGAUAUCUAGGUUUUGUUCAUACAUCGCUUACAAGGAAAUUGGGACAUUUUUCAUCCUGAAUUCUUCCCAUAGGCAUGUUGUUUCUCACUUUCUCUUGAUGGACCAGUGGUGACUGCAUUAGGCUUUGGGGAUGAGCUUGGAGUUGUCACACACUCUUCUCCAUCCCUCCCUUUGAAUGAGCAAAUGCUAACGUUUGAUAUUCUUAACCUCCCUCAAAAGGUGAGUUGGUUGGUCAAUUACCUUAAGAAAUCUGCUAAUUGAAUUUUUUUACUCUGAUUUAUGUAAUUUUAAAUGAUUGUCUGAUCGAGUGCAUGGCAGCCAUCUCUUAAUAUUUAAACUGUUCUCACAAACAUUAGGCUAUUAUUGAAUGAACUACCUUCCAUGAUGAUAGACUAAUGUGUGAAGCUAGAACGAAGUAUAAAUACAAUAAACAAGUUUUUGACCAGAAAGCAAGUUCGAUGAUCGAAAAUAUGUUGGAUCUGGUGCUUGUCCAAAUCAUGGUGGGAUUCAAUUUGUCACAUAUGUAAUCAUGGUAUGUAUGUAUGUAUGUGUUGCUUGAAAAGCAGGUGAUGGACUAAUGAUCUCAAGGAUCGAGCGAGUCAAUGACAAUGAGGGUUGCCCUGUUUUGUUGGUUCGAACUGACCAACCUAAUUGAGGUGUUAUGUGUACAAAUCAUACUUUUUGUGUCACCAUUGUUGAUAUUACAACCUAAAGACAUUCGUUUUGUGACCACUUUCUUGGUUUCAUUUAGAAAAUUCGGGGGUGGAGCUAUAGUCGGUGUAGUUUUUAAAUAGCUUUAUUUAUUUUCUGUCUGUUGCAAAAUACACCACAUCAAACCAUAGUUACUGCUUGGCUCAAGUGGGUUCCACAGGAACCCGUGAAAACACCAGUGGAGUGAAACUUAAAUAAAAAUGGCAGAUGCAAUAGCAAUAGAUACAGGUUGCUUGGCGACUGCACCAGGCAAACUUUUUUCAUCCAUAGCAGGUACUUUUGAAAUUCUAUUAUUUUGACUGCAUGUUUUUAGCUAUUAAUUUAUUGCAUUUAUCUUCUCUUGCUACAUAGGAAUAGUAUUUUUUUGUUGCCAUUCCACUGUUCAUUAUGAUAAAACCACAAUUUUCCGUGUUACUAUUGUUGAUAUCACAAUCUGCAGACAUGACAUUUGUUUAGAUAAGGGUUGUUAAAUGGGGCAAUGGGGCAAAACUUGGAAAAUAUAGAUGGUAUGAAAAUGGGUCAAACAGGUUGAAACACACAAUAAGAAGAUGGUUGUUCUCUUAAUCUCUUGUCUUGUAAGAUUGAGGGAUCUCCAAUUGUGGGUGCAAAAAAUAAUUAAUUUGAUGGUGCGCGCUACUUUCAUAAUGGCAGUGUGAAUAUAAUGUUUAUACAACAAAUAAGAUAGAAUUUUGAUUUAUUAGGUCAAAUGAAAAUGCCAUUUUUGGUAUGAUAUCUAUAAUUUCAAGAUAAAUAUAACAAUUGGGACUUUAACAUAUGAGGAGAAGAAGCAACUGGCAUGAAAGAGAUGCAAAGAAGGCAAGGGAUGUCGAAUUAAAAAAAAAAAAAUCAUAUAUAAUGAAUUCACUUUGAGGUGUAUUUUUUUGUUGGAAUCAUAUGUAAGCUGACUUUAUUUUGUUUUAAAACAUUAAAAACUAGAUUGGAUCGGAA